Molecule: RNA transcript, 3636 nt
Organism: Olea europaea var. sylvestris
Lineage: Eukaryota; Viridiplantae; Streptophyta; Magnoliopsida; Lamiales; Oleaceae
Exons: 3
Source: RefSeq, a predicted model, not a curated record
UUUUCUAAUGCCCUUAGUUUUCCAUCACUGCUUUUCUCUAUUCUGGAAUCUCCAAGGCUUCUUGAAUAUUCUUAGGAAUCCGGAUUCUAUCAAGGUUAGACGUAAAAGCACGACACUUAGCAGAAAGAGCAUUAUAAGAUACAAAUUUUGAGAUAGGAUGGAGAGUACAUGAACGAGGUUGUUUUCUAAGAGCAAUGGGUAAGUCAUCAAGAUUUGUUACCUAGCCAGGAUUGGGAUUUGGAUCAUGAGAAGUCGGAGCUAUCACCGAUUCUGACUCUUUUGGUUCUUCGAAUGCGAGAGUCUCAUUUGGCUUUGACUUUGGUCUCCUUGAGUAGACAAGUGUCUCCCUGUCUGUUUGCUUUCCCACAUCUUCCCCUGAGUUCAAGAUUCCUUUUGUGUUGGACAAGGAAUGAGAGGGUGUAUUGUAUGGGGUAGAUUCAAAUAUCGCAACAUCGAAGUCCAUGUUUGAGUGUCGAGCUUCACUCUUGGACUCCCCUUGCAGCGAGUAGUAGGGAAUAUGCUCAAAGAAUGUGACAUCUAGACUAACAUAUAAUUUCUGUGAGAUAGGUUCAUAACAUUUGUACCCCCUUAUGAGUGGGAGAGUAGACAAGUAAGAUACAUUUGAGAGCUUUAGGAUCCAACUUAUUCCGUUGGGAGGCGUGAAUGUGGACAAACACCGUGGACCUGAAAACACGAAGUGGGAGAGACAAACUGAGCCGAGAAUUAGGGAAAGUCUCUUAGAAUUUUUGGAGAGGGGUGGCAAAUGAGAGAACCCAACUGGUAGUCAAUUGAUGAGGAAUGCGGCUGUUAGGAUUGCAUCACCCCAGAAAGUAUUUUUCAAGUUAGAGGUGAACAGUAGGGCACGAGCUAAUUCCAGAAUAUGUCGGUUUUUAGGUUCAGCAACCCCAUUUUGUUAGGGGGUGUGAACGCAAGAACUCUGGUGAAUAAUGCCUUUUUCUUUAAAUAUUGAAAACUAGGAUGACCCGUUUGUUUGUACCAUAACAAAAGGCCAUUAUCCCUAAAUGCAGAAUUACAAAUUGGAGGACAAUACUAUUUACUCACGUGAGCGUCAUCAAAGUAGUAUAGCCCGUCGCAUUCCUUAGAACGGCCAAUUGUCUUUCCCGUUGAUAGGUCCUGAAAGACAUAAUGAGAAGACAAAACGUAGCUGAACAAUGAGAUUGUUUGAUUAGCUGACUAAUGGACAACAGAUUGCAUGAGAGAUUAGGAACAUGAAGAAUAGACUUCAAAGUAAGAAAUUUAUAGAUACGGAUACUACCUUUGCUAGCUAUUGGGGAUAAAGUACCAUAUGCAAUUUUUACUUUCAAGUUACCAGAACAAGGUGAAUAUGUGGAAAAUAAAUGAUGGGCAUCAGUCAUAUGGUUGGAUGCACCAGAGUCAAUAAUCCAAGGAGUAAGGUGAGAAGUGCACUGAGCGCACUUAAAAAAGUACCUUUGUGGGCUAAGGAACCCGAUGGCAUAGGAGUAGAAGACUGACCCAAGGUAUCUUUAGAAUGGCUCGAAUUUUUGCAAUGGUCAAAAAAUGACAUUUUAUUCUGACUUGGGCUAGAUUCUGUGGGAGACCCAUGAGUUACAAAGGCAAAAACUUCAGGCCCAGCUGUUAUUGUCGCCUUUCUUCUACUCUCUUCACGCCGAGCUUUAGAGAUCAUUUCUCGAAUGAACAGUAAUGGCCGACGACCCAAGAUUCGGCUCUUCACAUCAUCGAGCUCUCUGUUGAUCCCAACCAGAAACUCGUAUAGCUGAUACCAGGCAUCAAGCUCAGAAACGCCACAAACUGUAACACGUGUCCGGGAUUGAAUCCUUGGAGAAUGAGCCGACCUUCAACAUUCUCUUUAACGUGCAAACUCUCUCACACAUAAAAAUAUCAUUGGCGCUCUUUUCUCUGCCACGAGCAUUUUUGAUUCUUCGCUUCUCUGCAUGCUUCCUUUUCAGUGGGAAAGCUAGAUCAGCAAUAACAGCAGGAAUAGUAGCCCCGAGCAGGGACCACCAUACCUCAACCAUUAUUGCUACAGUUUCAAAGAUUUUUCUCUUCUCCCAGGCAUCAGAGGAGGUUUCGCAAGCAGCUCAUUCAGCUUCUCUACGGUAAGAUUAAUUGAGGAAUUUUCAAACCCGUCGGCCGAACCCAUGGAGGAUAUUAUCUUUGUUUCUCCUUCCUGAGUUGCCGACUGGGUAGACUCAUGGCUGUUGGCCAUGGAUUGCUAGGGUUUUCAUUGUAAUCCGAGCUCUGAUACCAUGAAGACAAUGAGAAUAUGAAAGUUGAAUCAAUUAUUUCAUUCGAUUGUAUAUUUUCUUUACAUACUCGGAUCCCUAUUUAACACGUACAAAGAGAACAAAAAUAUGGAAACAUAAAAUUCAACCCAUAAAAUCAGCCUAAAUAUCAGAUCUUAUAUUAUGACCUCAAUCUCAUCCAAAUCCCCUUCAAAUCAUUCGGGAUUUCCACAGUAUUCUUUGCCUUCAUCAAUUCUUCAAUCUUCCACAGAACCUUGGUUUUCUUCCUCCCUUUUCUUUUGAUUUGGAGUCAGUCCACAUUUAUGUCUAAAAUUUUUGCAUUGUUCACAAACUUUGCUCCAAAAGGCAGCACAAAUUUAAAAUUCAUCUACACUAUCUAAAACUAUUUUUGAGACUUCAUAGAUGGCCAACUUGAUGAAUAACCUAGUACAGGCAAGACAUCAUUUUCUAGUUGUUUCCUUCUGCAAGAUAACUAUGUUAUGACACCUGCUGCCAAGCGUAAUGCUUACGGAAAGUUUUGAAUGAAGCUAUAGGGUAGAUAUCUGCUUAUUUAAAGACUUGCAUUUAUUCACGAGAGAGAGAGAGUUGAUAGGACAACCCUGACAUAUGGCUCUUCUUAAGAUGUUGAUCAAGCUUUCAUUGAACUUCUAGAUUAUCUCAAUGCAUAUUUGGAGAACUUCCUUAAAUGUAUUCAAUGUCAUAUAUAUUGUUAUUGCAGACUGAGCUUCAUGGAUUAGCAGCUUUGCAGUGGUCUAUCUGUCAAGACUCACUCAGCAGUUGAGCUGACAGGCCCAAUGAAGCUCGUGUGAUGUAUGAGAAGCUUCAGUCUCACCCAAAUCCUCAAGUGAGCAAGAAGGCAAAACAGUUUAUAUUCGGCUUCCAGGCAAUGGAAAUGAUGAAGGUUAAAAGCUCAAUACUUUCUCCUGCAAGCACCGGUUAUCAAAAAUUUUUUGAAGCAUUUGUCGAAAAGAAAACAAAUUAUCCAGUGCAAGAGGAUGAAGUAGCUGAAGGUGCAUUGAGCAGUACCUUACCAUAUAUUAUUUUUCUUGUUUCUCCAAUACUAAUCGUGUUACUAAUUGCUGCUUUUAGGAUCCAAUAAUGACUUUGUUUUCUAUGUUCGAAUGUAAAUAGUUCCUAAAUAUUGUUUUGGAGCAUACAUCUGUAUAAAGAUCGGCACUGAAUUGAGAAAAAAAAAAUGAUGUCAAAGUGCUUAAAGAGUUACUGGUGUGAAAGCAUCUGUAUUGUUCCUCGAUAGCUUUGAGUUCAUAAAUUUCUUGCUUUUCCACUGAAAUUGUAGAAUGUAGUGCAGAUUUUUCAUAGAAAUCUUGUAAUGUUCAUGUUGUCUAGUAAAACCGUACUUUAUUAUUUAUUGCAUUUUUUCUUUGUAUCA